UACGUAGGGAGCAAGCGUUGUCCGGAAUCAUUGGGCGUAAAGCGCGCGUAGGUGGUCCCGUAAGUCCGCUGUGAAAGUCAAAGGCUCAACCUUUGAAAGCCGGUGGAUACUGUGGGACUAGAGUACGGAAGAGGCGAGUGGAAUUCCUGGUGUAGCGGUGAAAUGCGCAGAUAUCAGGAGGAACACCAAUUGCGAAGGCAGCUCGCUGGGACGUUACUGACGCUGAGACGCGAAAGCGUGGGGAGCAAAACGG
This 253-nucleotide ribosomal RNA is filed under the name uncultured bacterium. Its description in RNAcentral is "partial 16S ribosomal RNA". It matches the Rfam family "Bacterial small subunit ribosomal RNA", at positions 524 to 776 of the family's 1533-position model. The record is from RNAcentral.